GCCUGGAUAGCUCAGCUGGUUAAGCAUCUGACUUCAGCUCAGGCCAUAAUCUCCCGGUCUGUGGGUUCGAGCCCCAUGUCGGGCU
Molecule: transfer RNA, 85 nt
Filed under: Felis catus (domestic cat)
Lineage: Eukaryota; Metazoa; Chordata; Mammalia; Carnivora; Felidae
Also listed under: 1 other name
Rfam family: tRNA
About the family: Transfer RNA (tRNA) molecules are approximately 80 nucleotides in length. Their secondary structure includes four short double-helical elements and three loops (D, anti-codon, and T loops). Further hydrogen bonds mediate the characteristic L-shaped molecular structure. tRNAs have two regions of fundamental functional importance: the anti-codon, which is responsible for specific mRNA codon recognition, and the 3' end, to which the tRNAs corresponding amino acid is attached (by aminoacyl-tRNA synthetases). tRNAs cope with the degeneracy of the genetic code in two manners: having more than one tRNA (with a specific anti-codon) for a particular amino acid; and 'wobble' base-pairing, i.e. permitting non-standard base-pairing at the 3rd anti-codon position.
Source: Rfam by way of RNAcentral